This 267-nucleotide long non-coding RNA is filed under the name Gossypium raimondii (Peruvian cotton). Its description in RNAcentral is "long non-coding RNA (GRAI_LNC005393)". Lineage: Eukaryota; Viridiplantae; Streptophyta; Magnoliopsida; Malvales; Malvaceae. The record is from RNAcentral.
AAGCCACAAAGUUCGCUGGGAACUACUGGACACCAUGAUUGUGCAUAUUAAAUGCAUCCCGCAACAUACCUUCCAUGUCAUCCCCUCUAUCAGACUGAUGGUAAGCAGGACCAGAGUAAGAUACAUCCAUCGUUGAAGAGGAAGUACUAGGCGGGCAUUCUCCAUGAAAUAACCAUUGUUUAUAACCCUGAACAAACCCAUCAACAAUUAGAUGCUCGUAUACAACCUCACGACAAUGCCAGUUUAUGUUGACACACUUCUUACACG